GGGCAUAAACUGCAGUCGAGCGAGCUUGCCUAGAUGAUUUUAGUGCUUGCACUAAAUGAAACUAGAUACAAGCGAGCGGCGGACGGGUGAGUAACACGUGGGUAACCUGCCCAAGAGACUGGGAUAACACCUGGAAACAGAUGCUAAUACCGGAUAACAACACUAGACGCAUGUCUAGAGUUUGAAAGAUGGUUCUGCUAUCACUCUUGGAUGGACCUGCGGUGCAUUAGCUAGUUGGUAAGGUAACGGCUUACCAAGGCAAUGAUGCAUAGCCGAGUUGAGAGACUGAUCGGCCACAUUGGGACUGAGACACGGCCCAAACUCCUACGGGAGGCAGCAGUAGGGAAUCUUCCACAAUGGACGAAAGUCUGAUGGAGCAACGCCGCGUGAGUGAAGAAGGGUUUCGGCUCGUAAAGCUCUGUUGGUAGUGAAGAAAGAUAGAGGUAGUAACUGGCCUUUAUUUGACGGUAAUUACUUAGAAAGUCACGGCUAACUACGUGCCAGCAGCCGCGGUAAUACGUAGGUGGCAAGCGUUGUCCGGAUUUAUUGGGCGUAAAGCGAGUGCAGGCGGUUCAAUAAGUCUGAUGUGAAAGCCUUCGGCUCAACCGGAGAAUUGCAUCAGAAACUGUUGAACUUGAGUGCAGAAGAGGAGAGUGGAACUCCAUGUGUAGCGGUGGAAUGCGUAGAUAUAUGGAAGAACACCAGUGGCGAAGGCGGCUCUCUGGUCUGCAACUGACGCUGAGGCUCGAA
RNAcentral lists this ribosomal RNA (750 nucleotides) under uncultured bacterium. RNAcentral describes it as "bacterial SSU rRNA". It matches the Rfam family "Bacterial small subunit ribosomal RNA", at positions 44 to 757 of the family's 1533-position model. The record is from RNAcentral.